UGGGGAAUCUUGCACAAUGGAGGAAACUCUGAUGCAGCGAUGCCGCGUAAAUGAAGAAAGCCCUUGGGUUGUAAAGCUCUUUCGUCGAAAAAGAAAAUGACUGUACCCGAAUAAGAAGGUCCGGCUAACUUCGUGCCAGCAGCCGCGGUAAUACGAAGGGACCUAGCAUAGUUCGGAAUUACUGGGCUUAAAGAGUUCGUAAAUGGUUGAAAAAGUUGGUGGUGAAAUCCCAGAGCUUAACUCUGGAACUGCCAUCAAAACUUUUCAGCUAGAGUAUGAUAGAAGAAAGUAGAAUUUCUAGUGUAGAGGUGAAAUUCGUAGAUAUUAAAAAGAAUACCAAUUGCGAAGGCAGCUUUCUGGAUCAUUACUGACACUGAGGAACGAAAGCAUGGGUAGCGAAGAGG
RNAcentral lists this ribosomal RNA (404 nucleotides) under uncultured bacterium. Its description in RNAcentral is "bacterial SSU rRNA". It matches the Rfam family "Bacterial small subunit ribosomal RNA", at positions 355 to 776 of the family's 1533-position model. The record is from RNAcentral.